GAUGAACGCUGGCGGCGUGCCUAAUACAUGCAAGUCGAGCGAACGCACGAUAAGCUUUCUUCUCUGAUGUUAGCGGCUGACGGGUGAGUAACACGUGCAUAACCUUCCUAUAAUUCUUGGAUAACUUCGUGAAACCGGAUCUAAUACCGGAUAAUAUUUUGUACCGCUUGUUUCAAAAGUUAAACACGGUUUUCCUGUCACUUUUAGAUGGUUCCGCGCUGCAUUAGCUAGUUGGUAAGGUAACGGCUUACCAAGGCAACGAUGCAUAGCCGACCUGAGAGGGUGAUCGGCCACACUGGAACUGAGACACGGUCCAGACUCCUACGGGAGGCAGCAGUAGGGAAUAUUGCGCAAUGGGCGAAAGCCUGACGGAGCAACGCCGCGUGAGUGAUGAAGGUCUUCGGAUCGUAAAACUCUGUUAUUAGGGAAGAAAAUAAGUGUAAGUAACUGUGCACAUCUUGACGGUACCUAAACAGAAAGCAACGGCUAACUACGUG
Molecule: ribosomal RNA, 497 nt
Filed under: uncultured bacterium
Lineage: Bacteria
Description: partial 16S ribosomal RNA
Rfam family: Bacterial small subunit ribosomal RNA
Source: RNAcentral